GACUUUGUAGCUUAAUUGGUAGAGCGGUGGGGUGGAAUCCCUAAAUCAUGAGUUCGAUCCUCGCACGGGUUCA
Non-coding RNA from Gymnothorax javanicus (giant moray), 73 nucleotides. NCBI's taxonomy places the organism in Eukaryota, Metazoa, Chordata, Actinopteri, Anguilliformes, Muraenidae. The record is from the annotation of a GenBank genome assembly.